CAUAGGUUAAUGAGGCGAACCGGGGGAACUGAAACAUCUAAGUACCCCGAGGAAAAGAAAUCAACCGAGAUUCCCCCAGUAGCGGCGAGCGAACGGGGAGCAGCCCAGAGCCUGAAUCAGUGUGUGUGUUAGUGGAAGCGUCUGGAAAGGCGCGCGAUACAGGGUGACAGCCCCGUACACAAAAAUGCACAUACUGUGAGCUCGAUGAGUAGGGCGGGACACGUGGUAUCCUGUCUGAAUAUGGGGGGACCAUCCUCCAAGGCUAAAUACUCCUGACUGACCGAUAGUGAACCAGUACCGUGAGGGAAAGGCGAAAAGAACCCCGGCGAGGGGAGUGAAAAAGAACCUGAAACCGUGUACGUACAAGCAGUGGGAGCACGCUUAGGCGUGUGACUGCGUACCUUUUGUAUAAUGGGUCAGCGACUUAUAUUCUGUAGCAAGGUUAACCGAAUAGGGGAGCCGAAGGGAAACCGAGUCUUAACUGGGCGUUAAGUUGCAGGGUAUAGACCCGAAACCCGGUGAUCUAGCCAUGGGCAGGUUGAAGGUUGGGUAACACUAACUGGAGGACCGAACCGACUAAUGUUGAAAAAUUAGCGGAUGACUUGUGGCUGGGGGUGAAAGGCCAAUCAAACCGGGAGAUAGCUGGUUCUCCCCGAAAGCUAUUUAGGUAGCGCCUCGUGAAUUCAUCUCCGGGGGUAGAGCACUGUUUCGGCAAGGGGGUCAUCCCGACUUACCAACCCGAUGCAAACUGCGAAUACCGGAGAAUGUUAUCACGGGAGACACACGGCGGGUGCUAACGUCCGUCGUGAAGAGGGAAACAACCCAGACCGCCAGCUAAGGUCCCAAAGUCAUGGUUAAGUGGGAAACGAUGUGGGAAGGCCCAGACAGCCAGGAUGUUGGCUUAGAAGCAGCCAUCAUUUAAAGAAAGCGUAAUAGCUCACUGGUCGAGUCGGCCUGCGCGGAAGAUGUAACGGGGCUAAACCAUGCACCGAAGCUGCGGCAGCGACGCUGAUGCGUUGUUGGGUAGGGGAGCGUUCUGUAAGCCUGUGAAGGUGUGCUGUGAGGCAUGCUGGAGGUAUCAGAAGUGCGAAUGCUGACAUAAGUAACGAUAA
Molecule: ribosomal RNA, 1112 nt
Filed under: Escherichia coli
Lineage: Bacteria; Pseudomonadati; Pseudomonadota; Gammaproteobacteria; Enterobacterales; Enterobacteriaceae
Description: partial 23S ribosomal RNA
Rfam family: Bacterial large subunit ribosomal RNA
Source: RNAcentral